RNAcentral lists this ribosomal RNA (428 nucleotides) under Chloroflexota bacterium. RNAcentral describes it as "Chloroflexi bacterium partial 16S ribosomal RNA". It matches the Rfam family "Bacterial small subunit ribosomal RNA", at positions 355 to 776 of the family's 1533-position model. The record is from RNAcentral. Lineage: Bacteria; Bacillati; Chloroflexota.
UGGGGAAUAUUGCACAAUGGGCGCAAGCCUGAUGCAGCCAUGCCGCGUGUAUGAAGAAGGCCUUCGGGUUGUAAAGUACUUUCCGUCGGGAGGAAGGUGGUAAGGUUAAUAACCUUAUUAAUUGACGUACCGACAGAAGAAGCACCGGCUAACUCCGUGCCAGCAGCCGCGGUAAUACGGAGGGUGCAAGCGUUAAUCGGAAUUACUGGGCGUAAAGCGCACGCAGGCGGGUGAUUGAGUCAGAUGUGAAAUCCCCGGGCUUAACCCGGGAAUUGCAUCUGAUACUGGUCAGCUAGAGUCUUGUAGAGGGGGGUAGGAUUCCAUGUGUAGCGGUGAAAAGCGUAGAGAUGUGGAGGAAUACCGGUGGCGAAGGCGGCCCACUAGACAAAGACUGACGCUCAGGUGCGAAAGCGUGGGGAGCAAACAGG